This 4415-nucleotide unclassified non-coding RNA is filed under the name Limulus polyphemus (Atlantic horseshoe crab). RNAcentral's name for it is "ubinuclein-1-like, transcript variant X2". Lineage: Eukaryota; Metazoa; Arthropoda; Merostomata; Xiphosura; Limulidae. The record is from RNAcentral.
GCAGGCAAUAACACUAGCCCUGAGACCACGUGGAUUUUGUUUUGCGCGCGAAUACAUAUGACACAGACGUAGAAUGAUGAGUUCUGCGCAUGAAUUGUGAGUCGGUGUUAGCAUGAAACGGCGGUGAAAUUUGUUGGAUUUUAAACUGGUUUAAUGUUCAGUUGAGGAGUUCGUCAUUUUACUGAGGUAUACAGAUGGGUAUGAAGUAUGUCCGAACCACGACGGAUAGCCUUUCAAACUGAUGAAAAUUUUACGAAGGAGAAAACAAAAGAAUUGCUACCAACCAUACGAUUUUGCCUAUCGCUUGGUGAGACCACCGACAAAUCAUGCCCGGAAUACAACUAUACAGACUUGGUGAAAUCAGCUCGGCCAGAGAAUCGAGAAACUAAUAUGGUGGGUGAUCCGUAUGAAGAAGAUGAAGAUAAAUUGAUGGAAAUUGCUAGAAAGUUUGAAGAGAAAUAUGGUCCUAAAGUUGGAAGAAAAAAGGAGAACUUUGGAAAGUGGGAAGAUUAUGUAGAUAGAGGCAUGGGGUAUGAUGAAACUGAUCCUUUCAUAGACAACGAUCAAGCAUACGAUGAGCUUGUUCCAUCAACCUUGACAACACAGUAUGGAGGAUUUUACAUUAAUACUGGGAACUUGGACUUCAAAGUGGUUACGGAUUCUGACUCUGAAGGCAAUCAGAGUGAACAUAAAGUUAACAAAAGAAGGAGAAAACGGCAUAAAGAUACAAUAACGAAAGAUAACAAGAAGCGAGCUAAAUUAAUAAAAGACAGUGGAGAUGGUUCACUGAAAAAAGCAAAGAAACAUUUGAGUGCCUUAGAAAAACAGAAACGAAAGAGUCAGCCUACAGUUGCUGAAUUGAUACAGCAGUAUAAAUCACAAAAUGUACAACAGGAAUGUCAAGAAGUCAAUGAGGAAUCUCCUGUUGCUGUAUCACUUAACAUGGAUGUUGCUCUUGAUGCUGAAGAGAAUGUCAAGAUUGAAGAUGCAAUUGAAUCUGUGAUAAAGGCUGCAAGAGAGGAAGAUGCCAGUAGUGGGAAGGUGAUUUCUACCACAGCUAGUAGUGAUAGUGAGGAAUUGAGACAAGCUUUAGAUUCCAUUGAUGCACCUAAGUUGCCUGAAAAUCUUCCUUCUGAUCUGGAUGAGUUAUUAACUAAUAUCAAACAGGCUGCAUAUUUGUCUGGAGAAGGAAAAUGCAAAUUUUUCUCUGGAGAUGUAAACAUUAUGCUUCUAAACAUAGAGCUGAAGUCCAGAAAACUAACAUCUAGUCAACGUUCUAUGAUAUAUGCUCACCUGGCUUCUCAUCUUCCUUGUACCAAAGAAACCCUUCAAAAACGUGCCAAAAAACUGGUCAUAGGCCAAGAAGAUGGAAAACUCAGAAUUCCAAUGCAGCAACUAAAGGAUGCAAUCAGUGAGGUAAUGCCUCAGAUGGAAGCAAAAUAUGCAAUCCACUGCCAACAAUUAGGUGUAGCAGAGAAUGAUGAAAAGGAAACUGAUUCUUUAUCAGACACUGACAGUGAAAAAUACCAGAGUCUUGAUGAAGAAGAAAAGAAAACAAGCCCUUUACCAAGGAAAAAAUUUGAGUGGAAUGACCAUAUAAGGGAGCUGCUCUGUGAUGCUGUAAGAAUAAAACUUAAAUGUUAUGAAGUAUCUAAAAUGAGAACCCAGUCAGCUGAAGAUUACUUAAGAUUGUUUUUAAAAAUGGAAGUUAAGAGACUGUGGCCUCCUGGGUGGAUGCAAACACGGAUUCUGUUCAAGGAGAGCAGCAGUGUUCACUCUUAUCUCACAAGUAGAUCAAGGAAGUUAAUUGCUUGUAAGAAAUUUCCAACACCAGAAAGUGUCGGUGUGUUGCCUUCAAGUACUGGAAAGCUAGCAUUUCAUUGUGGAAGUGAUCUUGGUCUGCAAGAAGUUGUGUAUUUAGGUCCAUUUCAUACUGGAAUUGGGACAGUCAAUUCUGAAGUUUUGUGCUCAUCAGCAGGUGACAACAAAGUGGGAUUAGAAUCUGAGAAAAGUGUAGCUAACCCUGUAGCUUUGUCUGAAAACUUAAUAAACCCAAGAACCUCAUCAGCAAUUUCCUCUUCUCAUCACCAACCACUUGUGUCUACUUGUGAAAAGCCAGUACUAGCUACCUCCGAGCGUUCUACAUCCAGUGCUUUUGAUGUAAGAAGUACCAGUUCUUUGCCUUGUAAGCAGCAACUUAUGGCUAGCCAACUGUUGGUAGAAGCUACAAAUAUUAAGUCACUCCCUGAUAUUGAAACUAAGACAACCAUUUCUUGUACAAGUACAAAAAUUCCAAAGACACAGAGUAAUGUGAAUGUUUAUCAAAUGGCCCAGAAAGCUUUGUUAAAUGAUAAUGUAACAUUAGGUAAAGAUAUUACUGUUCAGCUUCUUCCUUUAGACACUCCAUCCACAAAGGUUACUAAUAGUGGUCAAAAGAGGAAACCAGAUAUUAAUAAACCCCAGGUUAUUUCUGGUAGUGAGUUUCACACUGUUCCAUCUAAUAAUGAAUCUCUUUCUUCUCCCAAGAAGGAACAAUCAACAUCCUUCCAAACAAAUGUUAUAAAGUUUACUGAUGCAGCAACAAAAGUUUUACAGAAAAGCACAUCUCAAAAUUCAAUGGCUUCAGACAUCCUAAGCCAUAUUAUCUGUGCUAGACUUGCCGAUUUUCCUAAUACCAACACAGCUUCAACUAAUAUCAGACAGUUAACUCAAAUGGUAGACAAUGUACAGGUUCCUAAUCCACCAGUAGUUUCACAUCCUUCAUCAGCACAACUUGGGCAUAAUUUAAUUUUAAAGCAAUCUGGGCAAUCAUGUUCUGAAAUUCCCCAGUCUUUGUCUAUGCAAAGUAGUGGUUUGACUGGCAAUACUAAUAAUGUUAGCUUACUGAAAUCUUCUGUGAAAACUUUUUUACCUCAGCUGGAUGCCAUGUCCACUGAAAUGAAGAACAAGUUGCAAAUUGUAUCAGUUUCUCAAAAGCAGUUUCGAAAAGAACAUGGAUCUGUCAACAGACAACAAGAAAUUAAUGCCUCUAAAGAUGUAAAACAACCUGAGGCUCCAGAUGUUGGUUGUAUGAGCUCUUUGAUUAACCAGCUUACUGGAAUUGAAAAAGAGGAAAGUGAAAGGUUGGCAAUGUCAAACCAAGCAUUUGGGUUUUUAGAAGUUUUCAAAAAGUCUUUGGAAAGUGGUAGUGUCAGUAAACAUAUUCCAACUACUAUACAACCAAGUGCCAGUUCUGGAUCGUCAGUACAUUUUAAUACUCGAAAACAAGCAUGCAACUGGCCUACAAGACCAGUGAGCUCUACCCCUAAAAGUACAAGUAAGACUGAUGCUUCCUCACAAAAAAGUGUCAAUAUUUGUACUAAUCAGUCAUCAUUUGUACUACCACAAUUGUCUUCACAGAACAUUAUGGCAAAACUGAUUGAUAAUACUAUAGUAGAAAGUUUAAAAACUGAUAAAAAGCCAGUGUUCACAUCAGGAAUUACUUCAGGUACUUAUGAAAAAGUUCACAAUCUUGGUUCUAAAAAGCCACCCACAACGGAGUUUAUUUUUGAGGGAAUGAAAGGUUUUCCUAUUCCUUUACCAUCUGUGAGUACAACUACGUUACUUCAGCCUGCUACACAAACAAGCUCUGUGUUGUCUAAAGGUUGUGUUGCAUUGUCAGAACCAGUUAUUAAAGAACACAGGAAACCUGAUUUUGCAACAAAGAGAUCUGUGAAAAGAGGCAAUAUAUCAUCUAAUCAGCAAGAUGUUUCGCAACAGCUUGUAGCAGACCAAGCAAGACCAGCAGUUCCUCAGACAGGAAGAUCCAGUAACAGGAAUAAUAUGAAUUUCAAACUUCAUGGACAGAAAGAAACAGUUACAGUAGCUGGAGGUCAUCAAGGUCACUAUCAAACUUUAUCUUCCUCCGUAAACAGUAAUCCUGUGAGUUACCAGACAGUAAUUGUAACAACCUCUGUUGACCUGCAACAUCAAACUGAACCCUUGACCAUUGGUCUCCCUUCACAGAAUUCUGACUUGUUCACAGUACAUGUUACUAGUCACUUGAAUACGCAUUGUAAUACUGAAGAACAAGCAACCUCAGUAAGUGGACCUGGAAAUGAGCAACAACAGAUUAUUUCUGGAAGUUCAGCAGUGGUAUCAGAUGUUAGUGUAAUGAAGCCUCAAACCAGUAAUAUAGCUAGCCCUCAAGUUACUACUCAGUAAGAUGACUAUCUCCAUCAAGUUCUGUUAUGUAAAUACAAACAUGUAACAUAGAUGUAUUAAAGAAAAAUGAUGUGAUUCAGUAUUCAAGUUAGAUAAUGUUUGGGAACCUCAGACAUUAUGGUGUUUCUAAUAACAGUUCCAUGUACAGGCAAUAUGAGUGAAUUUUCAAGUAACAUCUGCCACCAAUGGCACAGCGGUAUGUCUGUGACCUA